This 71-nucleotide transfer RNA is filed under the name Loxodonta africana (African savanna elephant). It matches the Rfam family "tRNA". Rfam says of the family: Transfer RNA (tRNA) molecules are approximately 80 nucleotides in length. Their secondary structure includes four short double-helical elements and three loops (D, anti-codon, and T loops). Lineage: Eukaryota; Metazoa; Chordata; Mammalia; Proboscidea; Elephantidae. The record is from Rfam by way of RNAcentral.
ACAUUGGUGGUUCAGUGGUAGAAUGCCUGCCUUCCAUGCAGGAGACCCGGGUUCAAUUCCCAGACAAUGUG